This 72-nucleotide transfer RNA is filed under the name Ovis aries (sheep). It matches the Rfam family "tRNA". Rfam says of the family: Transfer RNA (tRNA) molecules are approximately 80 nucleotides in length. Their secondary structure includes four short double-helical elements and three loops (D, anti-codon, and T loops). Further hydrogen bonds mediate the characteristic L-shaped molecular structure. tRNAs have two regions of fundamental functional importance: the anti-codon, which is responsible for specific mRNA codon recognition, and the 3' end, to which the tRNAs corresponding amino acid is attached (by aminoacyl-tRNA synthetases). tRNAs cope with the degeneracy of the genetic code in two manners: having more than one tRNA (with a specific anti-codon) for a particular amino acid; and 'wobble' base-pairing, i.e. permitting non-standard base-pairing at the 3rd anti-codon position. The record is from Rfam by way of RNAcentral. Lineage: Eukaryota; Metazoa; Chordata; Mammalia; Artiodactyla; Bovidae.
UCCCUGGUGGCUUAGAGGGUAAAGCGUCUGCCUGCAAUGCAGGAGAUCUGGGUCCAAUCCCUAAGUCGGGAA